GACGGGGACCCGCACAAGCGGUGGAUGAUGUGGAUAAUUCGAUGCAACGCGAAAACCUUACCUACCCUUGACAUGUCCGGAAUCCUGCAGAGAUGCGGGAGUGCCCGAAAGGGAAUCGGAACACAGGUGCUGCAUGGCUGUCGUCAGCUCGUGUCGUGAGAUGUUGGGUUAAGUCCCGCAACGAGCGCAACCCUUAUCAUUAGUUGCUACGCAAGGGCACUCUAAUGAGACUGCCGGUGACAAACCGGAGGAAGGUGGGGAUGACGUCAAGUCCUCAUGGCCCUUAUGGGUAGGGCUUCACACGUCAUACAAUGGUCGGUACAGAGGGUUGCCAAGCCGCGAGGUGGAGCCAACCCCAGAAAGCCGAUCGUAGUCCGGAUUGUUCUCUGCAACUCGAGAGCAUGAAGUCGGAAUCGCUAGUAAUCGCGGAUCAGCAUGUCGCGGUGAAUACGUUCCCGGGUCUU
This 464-nucleotide ribosomal RNA is filed under the name uncultured Thiobacillus sp. RNAcentral's name for it is "bacterial SSU rRNA". It matches the Rfam family "Bacterial small subunit ribosomal RNA", at positions 912 to 1382 of the family's 1533-position model. The record is from RNAcentral. Lineage: Bacteria; Pseudomonadati; Pseudomonadota; Betaproteobacteria; Nitrosomonadales; Thiobacillaceae.